UACGAACUGUGCGAACGUUAUUCGGAAUCACUGGGCUUACAGGGUGCGUAGGCGGCUCAACAAGUCAGGUGUGAAAGCCCCCCGGCUCAACCGGGGAACUGCGCUUGAAACUGUUAGGCUCGAGUCAGCUAGAGGUACACGGAACUUCCAGUGGAGCGGUGAAAUGUGUUGAUAUUGGAAGGAACACCGGAGGCGAAAGCGGUGUACUGGGGCUGGUCUGACGCUGAGGCACGAAAGCCAGGGGAGCGAACGGG
Molecule: ribosomal RNA, 254 nt
Filed under: uncultured bacterium
Lineage: Bacteria
Description: partial 16S ribosomal RNA
Rfam family: Bacterial small subunit ribosomal RNA
Source: RNAcentral